GGUGACUGCGUACCUUUUGUAUAAUGGGUCAGCGACUUAUAUUCUGUAGCAAGGUUAACCGAAUAGGGGAGCCGAAGGGAAACCGAGUCUUAACUGGGCGUUAAGUUGCAGGGUAUAGACCCGAAACCCGGUGAUCUAGCCAUGGGCAGGUUGAAGGUUGGGUAACACUAACUGGAGGACCGAACCGACUAAUGUUGAAAAAUUAGCGGAUGACUUGUGGCUGGGGGUGAAAGGCCAAUCAAACCGGGAGAUAGCUGGUUCUCCCCGAAAGCUAUUUAGGUAGCGCCUCGUGAAUUCAUCUCCGGGGGUAGAGCACUGUUUCGGCAAGGGGGUCAUCCCGACUUACCAACCCGAUGCAAACUGCGAAUACCGGAGAAUGUUAUCACGGGAGACACACGGCGGGUGCUAACGUCCGUCGUGAAGAGGGAAACAACCCAGACCGCCAGCUAAGGUCCCAAAGUCAUGGUUAAGUGGGAAACGAUGUGGGAAGGCCCAGACAGCCAGGAUGUUGGCUUAGAAGCAGCCAUCAUUUAAAGAAAGCGUAAUAGCUCACUGGUCGAGUCGGCCUGCGCGGAAGAUGUAACGGGGCUAAACCAUGCACCGAAGCUGCGGCAGCGACACUAUGUGUUGUUGGGUAGGGGAGCGUUCUGUAAGCCUGUGAAGGUGGCCUGUGAGGGUUGCUGGAGGUAUCAGAAGUGCGAAUGCUGACAUAAGUAACGAUAAAGCGGGUGAAAAGCCCGCUCGCCGGAAGACCAAGGGUUCCUGUCCAACGUUAAUCGGGGCAGGGUGAGUCGACCCCUAAGGCGAGGCCGAAAGGCGUAGUCGAUGGGAAACAGGUUAAUAUUCCUGUACUUGGUGUUACUGCGAAGGGGGGACGGAGAAGGCUAUGUUGGCCGGGCGACGGUUGUCCCGGUUUAAGCGUGUAGGCUGGUUUUCCAGGCAAAUCCGGAAAACCAAGGCUGAGGCGUGAUGACGAGGCACUACGGUGCUGAAGCGACAAAUGCCCUGCUUCCAGGAAAAGCCUCUAAGCAUCAGGUAACAUCAAAUCGUACCCCAAACCGACACAGGUGGUCAGGUAGAGAAUACCAAGGCGCUUGAGAGAACUCGGGUGAAGGAACUAGGCAAAAUGGUGCCGUAACUUCGGGAGAAGGCACGCUGAUAUGUAGGUGAAGCGACUUGCUCGUGGAGCUGAAAUCAGUCGAAGAUACCAGCUGGCUGCAACUGUUUAUUAAAAACACAGCACUGUGCAAACACGAAAGUGGACGUAUACGGUGUGACGCCUGCCCGGUGCCGGAAGGUUAAUUGAUGGGGUUAGCGGUAACGCGAAGCUCUUGAUCGAAGCCCCGGUAAACGGCGGCCGUAACUAUAACGGUCCUAAGGUAGCGAAAUUCCUUGUCGGGUAAGUUCCGACCUGCACGAAUGGCGUAAUGAUGGCCAGGCUGUCUCCACCCGAGACUCAGUGAAAUUGAACUCGCUGUGAAGAUGCAGUGUACCCGCGGCAAGACGGAAAGACCCCGUGAACCUUUACUAUAGCUUGACACUGAACAUUGAGCCUUGAUGUGUAGGAUAGGUGGGAGGCUUUGAAGUGUGGACGCCAGUCUGCAUGGAGCCG
Molecule: ribosomal RNA, 1612 nt
Filed under: Escherichia coli
Lineage: Bacteria; Pseudomonadati; Pseudomonadota; Gammaproteobacteria; Enterobacterales; Enterobacteriaceae
Description: bacterial LSU rRNA
Rfam family: Bacterial large subunit ribosomal RNA
Source: RNAcentral